This 31-nucleotide ribosomal RNA is filed under the name Brassica rapa subsp. chinensis. RNAcentral's name for it is "partial large subunit ribosomal RNA". The record is from RNAcentral. Lineage: Eukaryota; Viridiplantae; Streptophyta; Magnoliopsida; Brassicales; Brassicaceae.
GAGUCAGCCAGGACAGAUGAACAGAGUCUGU